UACGUAGGGGGCAAGUGUUGUCCGGAUUUAUUGGGCGUAAAGAGCGUGUAGGCGGCCAGAUAGGUCGGUUGUGAAAACUGGAGGCUCAACCUCCAGACGUCGACCGAAACCCUCUGGCUAGAGUCCGGAAGAGGAGAAUGGAAUUCCUGGUGUAGCGGUGAAAUGCGCAGAUAUCAGGAAGAACACCCGUGGCGAAGGCGGUUCUCUGGGACGGUACUGACGCUGAGACGCGAAAGCGUGGGGAGCGAACAGG
Molecule: ribosomal RNA, 253 nt
Filed under: uncultured bacterium
Lineage: Bacteria
Description: partial 16S ribosomal RNA
Rfam family: Bacterial small subunit ribosomal RNA
Source: RNAcentral